AUUGAACGCUGGCGGCAUGCCUUACACAUGCAAGUCGAACGGCAGCACGGGUGCUUGCACCUGGUGGCGAGUGGCGAACGGGUGAGUAAUACAUCGGAGCGUACCUUAUCGUGGGGGAUAACGCAGCGAAAGCUGUGCUAAUACCGCAUACGCCCUGAGGGGGAAAGCGGGGGAUCGAAAGACCUCGCGCGAUUAGAGCGGCCGAUGCCUGAUUAGCUUGUUGGUGGGGUAAAAGCCCACCAAGGCGACGAUCAGUAGCUGGUCUGAGAGGACGAUCAGCCAAACUGGGACUGAGACACGGCCCAGACUCCUACGGGAUGCAGCAGUGGGGAAUUUUGGACAAGGGGGGCAACCCUGAUUCAGCAAUGCCGCGUGAGUGAAGAAGGCCUUCGGGUUGUAAAGCUCUUUUGUCAGGGAAGAAACACCGGCUCUAACACAGUCCGGGAAUGACGGUACCCGAAGAAUAAGCACCGGCUAACUACGUGCCAGCAGCCGCGGUAA
Molecule: ribosomal RNA, 501 nt
Filed under: uncultured bacterium
Lineage: Bacteria
Description: partial 16S ribosomal RNA
Rfam family: Bacterial small subunit ribosomal RNA
Source: RNAcentral